AUGGGAUAAGGACAUGGUGUGGCGAGGCGCGCAAAGUUAUCAGGGAGUCACCACAGGGAGAAGCCGCCGACUGCUUUAAACGAGGCAAUGUUUGUUCGGUAGCGAGCCCAUUCCUCAGUGUACCCAACGCUAACGUAAUUUCCGCCAGCCUGAACCUUACCGGCACCGUCGCACACCUCCUUUGUUUGCUAUCCACAUCCUGCCCAAACUGAUCCAGGUGUAUCAGUAUAUUGAAGCGUUCCGAAAAACCAAGGGACCACGAUAACAAAUUAAUGCUGGCAGUGGCAGUAGUGCGAGCGCUGAGAGAGGGCGUGAACGCCACACCCCAGGGAUCACCUGUGCAAAACUAAUGAGGCUUCAACUCCCAGCUUUUCAAGCACCAUCAUGGGUCACAACUGCAUGCUUACUGGCCAUUGGAAUAUCCAACAACUAAUGGCACAUGCCAAUAAAGAGAGCAGCAGUGUGUGCCUGGCCAGCAGGUCUACCAGCUGUUGAAGCCACAUCUGGCAGCUUCACAACCUCAAUCUACAUUCUCGAUUUCACUUACAGCUUCAUGCCAGUAACUCCAUUGAAUUUACAUCUAGUAGUGUCCAUGUCCUGCUCAGAAGACAGCAGUGUUCAUGCCGGCAUCACUAUUAAGGCUUCUAUGGACUAGGUGGACAAAAAUAUUGUUACUGGUUGUCACUUGACUUCCCAGUUACAUGAUGUUUUAACUAUUUGUUGGCAACCCAUGCCCUGACUCGUGUCAAAAAGUCGGGAGCUGCUGACCUGACUUGAACAUUACAUGUAGUGACACCUGCUAAUGAUACUUAUAAUCUUUUUAAGUCUUUUGACUUUGUUAACUUGGUAAAAUAAAAUCAUAUUCAAAUGUUUUUUUGUACUUUAAAUAAUUUUUGUUACCUGGGUUACAGUUUACACAACCCUGUAAUGGAGUAAUGAAGCAAUGGUAAUUUGUGUUCUAAUUUUUCAUGUAAUAUCAAGCAAUGUUCUCUGAUUUAUGAGCAAUAAGUAACAAAAUUACACUGUGGAGUAAUACUGCCAAUCUCUGAAUGUGGGUGUUUGAAAGGAAGAAAUGUAAAAUGACCCAUGCAACACUAGACAACUGAAUAGUGGUCAGUGAAGAUCAGGUCCCUCCUCCCAUAAAGGUCUAGAGGUUAAAAUAUGAUUUCAAUCCAGUAUUAAGGAAUGUUUGAUAAUAACUCAUUGUGAGUUUAUAGAUUUUGGAUGUCUUGUCUCAAGAAUGAACAAAACAGUUUAAGCUCAUCAACCCAUAUACUAAAGGACCUAUAUGAGAAAUGCAAACAACUUCCAUAUUACCAAAAUGGAAAUGUGUACAGAGGAUAAAUAUAAAGUAAUCAUCCUUCAGAAACUCCUGAAAUUCAGAAACUUCUGAAGAGCAGAAUUAAACAAACAGACAGAAAAGUGUUAGCUGUGGUGCAGCUGGUGAAAUAAAUUGUGACUUGUAUUUAUGUUAUGACUCCCUUCAUUUGUAAGACAAUGGAGCAAACCUGGUACACCACAAAUGCAUUCCUUAAUAUGCAUGAGAAGGGAAGUAUUACCAAAAAUCCAAUCACACAGAGGAUCUGUUUGGU
Scylla paramamosain (green mud crab) is the source of this 1592-nucleotide long non-coding RNA. RefSeq lists it as uncharacterized. The transcript is spliced from 3 exons. Lineage: Eukaryota; Metazoa; Arthropoda; Malacostraca; Decapoda; Portunidae. The record is from RefSeq and is a predicted model, not a curated record.